This is a long non-coding RNA of Cataglyphis hispanica, 453 nucleotides long. RefSeq lists it as uncharacterized. The transcript is spliced from 3 exons. The record is from RefSeq and is a predicted model, not a curated record. NCBI's taxonomy places the organism in Eukaryota, Metazoa, Arthropoda, Insecta, Hymenoptera, Formicidae.
GGAAGAUUUCCGUUUCCAUAAAUAAAUUGUUCCCAAAUUAGUACCAACAGCCAAAGUAUCUGAGAAAUGCGAGAUAUUAUUAUAUACAUUUAUAUAUACAUUUCGCUAAUUGUUUUCAAACUUGGAUGAAAAUAACAAUAAUAAUACAAGAAACACAUUGGUUAACUCGUUCUUACCAUUGCUUUUGCAAAACGCCAAACUGGUACACAUUUCCUGAGGAGUGGCAAUAUUUCCAUUAGAUGAAUCUGGAGGCGAGAGAACGUAUGUAUCACCUGUAUGAAGAUCCCAACAUCGGAUAGCGAGUUCUCCUGUGAGCACAGCCAAGGUAUUUCCACUGAUCCAACAUAGAGUGGUACUAGCAACAUGGUUCUCGCAUUGAUAUAAGCAUGCAGCAAUAGCAAGACGGAUCGUACAUCUAUACACGAACCAGCCAGCAGAAUAUUUUAUUGUGAG